AAUGGACGCUGGCGGCGCGCCUAAUACAUGCAAGUCGAGCGAGAAGACGUAGCAAUACGUUUGUAAAGCGGCGAACGGGUGAGGAAUACAUGGGUAACCUACCCUCGAGUGGGGAAUAACUAGCCGAAAGGUUAGCUAAUACCGCGUACGCUCCUUGGACUUCGGUUCAGGGAGGAAAGCGAUACCGUGGGUAUCGCGCUCUUGGUUGGGCUCAUGUCCUAUCAGCUUGUUGGUGAGGAACGGCUCACCAAGGCUUCGACGGGUAGCUGGUCUGAGAGGACGAUCAGCCACACUGGCACUGCGACACGGGCCAGACUCCUACGGGAGGCAGCAGUGAGGAAUAUUGCGCAAUGGGCGAAAGCCUGACGCAGCGACGCCGCGUGGGGGAGUGAAGGU
RNAcentral lists this ribosomal RNA (396 nucleotides) under uncultured bacterium. Its description in RNAcentral is "bacterial SSU rRNA". It matches the Rfam family "Bacterial small subunit ribosomal RNA", at positions 29 to 415 of the family's 1533-position model. The record is from RNAcentral.